UAGCGUAUAUUUAAGUUGUUGCAGUUAAAAAGCUCGUAGUUGGAUUUCGGUUAAGAGCGACCGGUCCGCCGUUUGGUGUGCACUGGUUGGUUUUAACCUCCUGUAGAGGACGUGCUCUGGGCUUAACGGUCUGGACUCGGAGUCUACGUGGUUACUUUGAAAAAAUUAGAGUGUUCAAAGCGGGCUUACGCUUGAAUAUUUCAGCAUGGAAUAACACUAUAGGACUCCUGUCCUAUUUCGUUGGUCUCGGGACGGGAGUAAUGAUUAAGAGGAACAGUUGGGGGCAUUCGUAUUUCAUUGUCAGAGGUGAAAUUCUUGGAUUUAUGAAAGACGAACUUCUGCGAAAGCAUUUGCCAAGGAUGUUUUCAUUAAUCAAGAACGAAAGUUGGGGGCUCGAAGAUGAUUAGAUACCAUCCUAGUCUCAACCAUAAACGAUGCCGACUAGGGAUUGGCGGAUGUUAAUUGAUGACUCCGCCAGCACCUUAUGAGAAAUCAAAGUUUUUGGGUUCCGGGGGGAGUAUGGUCGCAAGGCUGAAACUUAAAGGAAUUG
RNAcentral lists this ribosomal RNA (550 nucleotides) under uncultured Chlorophyta. Its description in RNAcentral is "SSU rRNA". It matches the Rfam family "Eukaryotic small subunit ribosomal RNA", at positions 595 to 1155 of the family's 1831-position model. The record is from RNAcentral. Lineage: Eukaryota; Viridiplantae; Chlorophyta.